UUCACAUGUAUGCAGUCCCUGAACAAGAAGUAUGGAUGAAGUGUUCCUUUGCUUCUAAUGAACUCUCUCAACACUCAUGAUGACACACAGAAGAUUGUUGAGAAGUACUCCAACUCCAACAUUGAAAUUCACACUUUCAACCAGAGCCAAUACCCUCGCAUUGUCUCCGUUUGUGUGAACGCUGAGCGCUGGAUCGUGUGUGUGCUGCAGAUCUCGACGCCAUGAAG
Molecule: long non-coding RNA, 227 nt
Organism: Triticum aestivum (bread wheat)
Lineage: Eukaryota; Viridiplantae; Streptophyta; Magnoliopsida; Poales; Poaceae
Exons: 3
Source: RefSeq, a predicted model, not a curated record